Molecule: ribosomal RNA, 478 nt
Filed under: uncultured bacterium
Lineage: Bacteria
Description: partial 16S ribosomal RNA
Rfam family: Bacterial small subunit ribosomal RNA
Source: RNAcentral
GAUGAACGCUGGCGGCGUGCUUAACACAUGCAAGUCGAACGAGAAAUGUAGACGGAAACCUUCGGGCGGAAGCCUUCAUUUCGAGUGGCGGACGGGUGAGUAACGCGUGGGUAACCUGCCUCAUACAGGGGGAUAACAGUUGGAAACGACUGUUAAUACCGCAUAAGACCACAGCAUCGCAUGAUGCGGGGGUAAAAACUCCGGUGGUAUGAGAUGGACCCGCGUUCGAUUAGCCAGUUGGCGGGGUAACGGCCCACCAAAGCGACGAUCGAUAGCCGAUCUGAGAGGGUGACCGGCCACAUUGGGACUGAGACACGGCCCAAACUCCUACGGGAGGCAGCAGUGGGGAAUAUUGCACAAUGGGGGAAACCCUGAUGCAGCGACGCCGCGUGAGUGAAGAAGUACUUCGGUAUGUAAAGCUCUAUCAGCAGGGAAGAAAAUGACGGUACCUGAGUAAGAAGCCCCGGCUAACUACGUG